UUAAACGCGAUGAAGGGGAGUAGUAAGUGGAAGUCGAGGUUAAGAGAGCCGGUGGUAGGGUGUAAACCGGUCCAGGCUUCAACUGAAUCCACCUCGGAAGCAGGCUGCGUCGAGCAGUUCCGGUAGAGCGCCGUUAUCGCUUGUUGAAUGAGUGGGCUACGGUCUCGUAGUCAAGUAGGGUGGCAACGCGGGAAACACCUCUCGUCCCUGGG
Molecule: non-coding RNA, 212 nt
Filed under: Syntrophothermus lipocalidus
Lineage: Bacteria; Bacillati; Bacillota; Clostridia; Eubacteriales; Syntrophomonadaceae
Description: T-box sequence
Rfam family: T-box leader
About the family: Uncharged tRNA acts as the effector for transcription antitermination of genes in the T-box leader family.
Source: RNAcentral